CGAAAGGCCCCUUCGGGGGCCGAGUAGAGUGGCGCACGGGUGAGUAACACGUAGGUAAUCUACCUCUGGGUGGGGAAUAACAGUCGGAAACGGCUGCUAAUACCGCAUAACGCAGCGGCACCACAUGGUGACAGUUGUUAAAGCGGGGGAACUUCGGUCCUCGCGCCUGGAGAGGAGCCUGCGGCGGAUUAGCUAGUUGGUAGGGUAACGGCCUACCAAGGCAACGAUCCGUAGCCGGCCUGAGAGGGCGGUCGGCCACACUGGCACUGACAUACGGGCCAGACUCCUACGGGAGGCAGCAGUCGGGAAUUUUGGGCAAUGGGCGAAAGCCUGACCCAGCAACGCCGCGUGAAGGAUGAAGUUUCUCGGAAUGUAAACUUCACAAGAAUGGGAAGAAUAAGUUUUGGCUAAUAUCCAAAACGAUGACGGUACCAUUUGUAAGCUCCGGCUAACUCCGUGCCAGCAGCCGCGGUAAUACGGGGGGAGCAAGCGUUGUUCGGAUUUACUGGGCGUAAAGGGCGCGUAGGCGGCGUGACAAGUCACUUGUGAAAUCUCCGGGCUUAACUCGGAGCGGUCAAGUGAUACUGUCGUGCUAGAGUGCGGAAGGGGCUACUGGAAUUCUCGGUGUAGCGGUGAAAUGCGUAGAUAUCGAGAGGAACACCUGCGGCGAAGGCAGGUAGCUGGGCCGACACUGACGCUGAGGCGCGAAAGCUAGGGGAGCGAACGGGA
Molecule: ribosomal RNA, 729 nt
Filed under: uncultured bacterium
Lineage: Bacteria
Description: bacterial SSU rRNA
Rfam family: Bacterial small subunit ribosomal RNA
Source: RNAcentral